GGUCCCGCCUGCCCUGUGACAAAAGUUUAACGGCCGCGGUAUUUUGACCGUGCAAAGGUAGCGUAAUACUCUUGUCUUUUAAAUAGAGACCUGUAUGAAUGGCAUAACGAGGGUCAACCUGUUUCCUUACUCCGGUCAAUGAAAUUGAUCCCCUCGUGCAGAAGCGAGGCUGAGACCAUAAGACGAGAAGACCCUAUGGAGCUUUUAGACGCUAGGACACAUCAAGUCAAAUCCCCUAAAUAAAAGGUAUGAACAAAAUGUGGCUGUCCCAGUGUCUUUGGUUGGGGCGACCACGGAGUAAAAACUAACCCCCGUGUGGAACUAAACCACGAAGUUUUAAAUUUAGAGCAACCGCUCAUGAGAACAGAAAAUCUGACCAUGCUGAUCCGGCAAAGCCGAUCCACGGACCUAGUUACCCUAGGGAUAACAGCGCAAUCCCUCCCUAGAGCCCCUAUCGACGGAGGAGUUUACGACCUCGAUGUUGGAUCAGGACAUCCUAAUGGUGCAGCCGCUAUUAAGGGUUC
RNAcentral lists this ribosomal RNA (524 nucleotides) under Schindleria sp. 21 TK-2007. RNAcentral's name for it is "partial 16S rRNA". It matches the Rfam family "Bacterial large subunit ribosomal RNA", at positions 1851 to 2574 of the family's 2925-position model. Lineage: Eukaryota; Metazoa; Chordata; Actinopteri; Gobiiformes; Schindleriidae. The record is from RNAcentral.